Molecule: long non-coding RNA, 750 nt
Organism: Apis florea (little honeybee)
Lineage: Eukaryota; Metazoa; Arthropoda; Insecta; Hymenoptera; Apidae
Source: RefSeq, a predicted model, not a curated record
CACGCGCCUCUCGCCGGCCGACCGUGGUGGAAGAAGGACGGGUUACGUUCCCUCGUACUGUUCUUGUGUAUCUUUCUCUGACUUGAGUGGAAAUCGCGUGUGCUUCUGUUCAACAAACGUCGGUAUGGUCGUAGCUAUACGAACGCAAUAGUGUAACGCGUAAAAAACGAUGGAUAGUGCACGCAACCUGUUUCUAUCUUCGCGUCGUUUGUGCGGUUGAAAGUGUUUUGUGUUCGAACUUGCGUGUGCGUAUGAUCUUCUCUGGAACGGGACACCUUACACCACAAUAUCUAUGACUACCCUCAUCCAACAAGAUGAAAUCUUAUUCCUAACUGGACAACCAUCCCGGAUUACGAACAGAAAGCGCGACGAAUCCCUCUUUCAAGCUGCACCGGUACAACCUGAGCGACAUUUAACCGGAAACUUGAUAUCGGUGGACAUUCACCGCUGUGAGCUCUUUCAAUUGAUCGUGGCCUACACGACAAUGAGGAUCAACUACGUCGAAGGGAGCGUGGAGCGGGAACGGUGGUAGUGAGACGGCGCUGCUGCUUCGAGCAAACAGGCCGGUGCCCGAGCGCGAGCAGCACGUCGACGACGUUACAUGAUGGUGAUGGUGGUGGUGGUUUCCGGCCGGUUCUUAUGUCGGAGGGUCCCCCAAAGAAACGGCGAAAAAGGUAGGAACGAUGGUAUCAGCGAAACGAGUUCACCGGGUGGUGGGAUGUUGGAGGAAGGGAAACGGGAUGAAAGAAA